RNAcentral lists this ribosomal RNA (253 nucleotides) under uncultured bacterium. RNAcentral's name for it is "partial 16S ribosomal RNA". It matches the Rfam family "Bacterial small subunit ribosomal RNA", at positions 524 to 776 of the family's 1533-position model. The record is from RNAcentral.
UACGUAGGGUGCGAGCGUUAAUCGGAUUUACUGGGUUUAAAGGGUGUGUAGGCGGAUUAUUAAGUCAGCGGUGAAAUCUCCGAGCUCAACUCGGAAACUGCCAUUGAUACUAUUAGUCUUGAAUAUUGUUGAGGUGGGCGGAACGGGUCAUGUAGCGGUGAAAUGCAUAGAUAUGACCCGGAACACCGAUUGCGAAGGCAGCCCACUAAGCAAUGAUUGACGCUGAGGCACGAAAGCGUGGGGAUCAAACAGG